Molecule: long non-coding RNA, 898 nt
Organism: Wyeomyia smithii (pitcher-plant mosquito)
Lineage: Eukaryota; Metazoa; Arthropoda; Insecta; Diptera; Culicidae
Exons: 2
Source: RefSeq, a predicted model, not a curated record
UUGCUUCGCUCUGUCACAAGAUAAUUGAUCAAAGGGAUAUUAUAAAAUAACUAGAUACAAAAUAUUUGAGAUAUUUUUUUUUGCAUAAGAAUCACAGCAAUGCUGAAAUAUUCAAUGUUUCAAUUGAAAAAUGUAAUUUUUUUACUCACACUAUUUACCUUUACGAAUGGAUCAAUUACGCUUCAUGGGGAUAUAAGUUAAAAAUGCCAAAGGAAAUAUUAGGAUUUCCAAAAUUGGACCAUAAAUAUUUUAAGCCCUUACAUAAAAUUACAUGCGAAGGUCCAAAAUAUGUAAGGGACCAAUUUAAAUAUGUUACCCUAAAAAUAAUUACAAAGAUAAUUAAAACUAUUUUUCUACUGUUUUAUAGAAAACUUUCAUGCUAAACCACAUCGGCAACACAGCAGAUACCGUGAACGGGCAAAAUUCUUGCUAUGAGCUCGUCGACAAAUUUUUUUAAAGAAAAUUGAUGCUGCUGUGCUCGUGGACGGGAGCAAGCAAGACGGAAACAAAUAAGUGCGCACUACGGGUACACAAGAACGUACUAAACACUUUUUACAAUAUUAUCAAAGAUAUAAAUGCGAGCUUUACUGUCAAAUUAAUGGAGGAAUUCUUCAAGUCUGUCACAAGAAACUCAAGAAAGCGCAGCGAAGCAAAGGGGUUGAGAUGCUCCACCAUUCACCGCAGAUCAAAAAUGCAAGCUGUUUCAGCUGUAAUCAAUGCUAAUGAAGACAGUACACUUACACCGACUGGAACUGAAACUGGCACAGAUGAGGAAAAUGAAUACAUCGUAACAUAAAAACUAAAAAAGUAAGAGAAAUAGGAGAAACCAAAAAUUGAUAAUUUUUCUUUAUCCGAUGUUAAAAUGGUAUAUUGUUUCAAAUAAAUGAUAAAACUACAA